This 68-nucleotide transfer RNA is filed under the name Sympotthastia takatensis. RNAcentral's name for it is "tRNA-Arg". The record is from RNAcentral. Lineage: Eukaryota; Metazoa; Arthropoda; Insecta; Diptera; Chironomidae.
GAAUAUGAAGCGAUAAAUUGCAACUAGUUUCGACCUAGUCUUAGGUGAUCUUUUAUUACCCUUAUUCU